GCCGGGGUACCCAAGCUUGGUAUGGGGCAGGCCUGGAGAGCCUGUGGGCCGUUAGGCCCGCGAGGGUUCAAAUCCCUCCCCCGGCGCCA
This 89-nucleotide transfer RNA is filed under the name Candidatus Bathyarchaeota archaeon. RNAcentral describes it as "tRNA-Ser". It matches the Rfam family "tRNA". Rfam says of the family: Transfer RNA (tRNA) molecules are approximately 80 nucleotides in length. Their secondary structure includes four short double-helical elements and three loops (D, anti-codon, and T loops). Lineage: Archaea; Thermoproteati; Candidatus Bathyarchaeota. RNAcentral also lists the same sequence under 1 other name. The record is from RNAcentral.